GUGCUCACUACAGCAGCACAUAUACUAAAAUUGGAAGAAUACAGAGAAAAUGAGCAUGGUCCCUAUGCAAGGAUGGCAGGUAGAUUUGUGAACCAUUACAUGUUAAA
This is a small nuclear RNA of Homo sapiens (human), 107 nucleotides long. Lineage: Eukaryota; Metazoa; Chordata; Mammalia; Primates; Hominidae. The record is from Ensembl.